AGAUUGAACGCUGGCGGCAUGCCUAACACAUGCAAGUCGAACGGGAGUAGCAAUACUCUAGUGGCGGACGGGUGAGGAAUACGUAGGAAUUUGCCCUUAAGUGGGGGAUAACCCGGGGAACCCGAUUAAUACCGCAUGACCUCGAAAGAG
This 150-nucleotide ribosomal RNA is filed under the name uncultured soil bacterium. RNAcentral describes it as "partial 16S ribosomal RNA". It matches the Rfam family "Bacterial small subunit ribosomal RNA", at positions 26 to 201 of the family's 1533-position model. The record is from RNAcentral.